ACGCAACGGAAAAUCACAUUUAAUUUAUUGAAUAUCGGUUCGAGUAUUACACUCCUCUAUCAAAAUAAUACUAAUGUAAUUAAUUAGUAAAAACAGUGUUUAUACAAAAUAAUCCUCUUUAUCAAAAUGUAUAGUUUUACAAAUAAAUACAAGAAUGUCAUAAAGACUCUAUACCCUAAGUACACCCGUUUUCCCGUGUCACAAUCAGAGCGGAGCUUCACCGACGACUCGGCAUCGAAUACCACAAAAUCCUGUAAAAUCUGGACCCCCAACGGUCCAGCACAUAACACAUAAAAGAGAGUUAGACAACAUACUCAAAAUAUAAGUGUAAGUAAAUGGUACUUAAACACUUUUUC
RNAcentral lists this long non-coding RNA (356 nucleotides) under Trifolium pratense (red clover). RNAcentral's name for it is "long non-coding RNA (TPRA_LNC009533)". Lineage: Eukaryota; Viridiplantae; Streptophyta; Magnoliopsida; Fabales; Fabaceae. The record is from RNAcentral.